UGGGCUUAAAUGCAUUCUGACAGGCUGGGAAACCAGCCCUCCUUCGGGCAGAAUGCAAGGUGCUGCAUGGCCGUCGUCAGCUCGUGCUGUGAGGUGUCGGGUUAAGUCCCAUAACGAGCGCAACCCCUAUUUCUAGUUGCCAGCGAGUAAUGUCGGGGACUCUAGAGAAACUGCCCGCGCAAGCGGAGAGGAAGGUGGGGAUGACGUCGUAUCUCACUG
This 219-nucleotide unclassified non-coding RNA is filed under the name uncultured Bacteroidia bacterium. RNAcentral describes it as "contains 16S-23S intergenic spacer region". It matches the Rfam family "Bacterial small subunit ribosomal RNA", at positions 976 to 1198 of the family's 1533-position model. Lineage: Bacteria; Pseudomonadati; Bacteroidota; Bacteroidia. The record is from RNAcentral.